RNAcentral lists this ribosomal RNA (3133 nucleotides) under Desulforamulus reducens. RNAcentral describes it as "23S ribosomal RNA". It matches the Rfam family "Bacterial large subunit ribosomal RNA". The record is from RNAcentral. Lineage: Bacteria; Bacillati; Bacillota; Clostridia; Eubacteriales; Peptococcaceae.
UCAAGAAAGAAAGGGCAUACGGUGGAUGCCUAGGCGCUAAGGGCCGAAGAAGGGCGCGGUAAGCUGCGAAAAGCCACGAGGAGCCGCAAGCAGGCAUUGAUUCGUGGGUACCCGAAUGGGGCAACCCGGCGGAGCAAACCUCCGUCACCCUAUGCUGAAUCCAUAGGCAUAGAGGAGGGCACCCGGGGAACUGAAACAUCUAAGUACCCGGAGGAAGAGAAAGAAACAUCGAACCCCCAAGUAGCGGCGAGCGAAAAGGGGCGAGCCUAAACCAGAAUUCUUCGGAAAUCUGGGGUUGCGGGACCCUCAUCACGUGAUAACUAGACCUAGUCGAAGACACCUGGAAAGGUGCUGCACAGAAGGUAAAACACCUGUAGACGAAAGGUUGAACAUUACAGAGGAAAUCCCAAGUACCGCGGGACACGAGAAACCCCGUGGGAAUCAGGGGGGACCACCCCCCAAGGCUAAAUACCCAUAGCGACCGAUAGUGAACCAGUACCGUGAGGGAAAGGUGAAAAGCACCCCGGGAGGGGAGUGAAAAAGAACCUGAAACCGUAUGCCUACAAACUGUCGGAGCACUAUUCGAGGUUCGCGGGUCAAGUAAAAAAGACCCUAAAGGAAUGCGUGUAUCGAACCACGAACUUCGAACAUCGAACUUCGAAGUGUGACGGCGUACUUUUUGUAGAACGGACCGGCGAGUUACAUCUAACGUGCAGGUUAAGGCAGGAAAGCCGGAGCCAAAGCGAAAGCGAGUCUUAAAAGGGCGAGAGUGUACGUUGGAGUAGACCCGAAACCUGGUGAUCUACCCAUGUCCAGAGUGAAGCUUUAGUAAAAUAAAGUGGAGGCUCGAACCGACCUUCGUUGAAAAGGAGGCGGAUGAGGUGUGGGUAGGGGUGAAAUGCCAAUCGAACCAGGAGAUAGCUGGUUCUCCCCGAAAUAGCUUUAGGGCUAGCCUCGGUGGAUGAAUAACGGAGGUAGAGCACUGAAUGGGCUAGGGGCCUUCACGGGUUACCGAACCCAAUCAAACUCCGAAUGCCGUUAUUUUAGAAACCGGGAGUCAGACUGCGGGUGCUAAGAUUCGUAGUCAAAAGGGAAACAGCCCAGACCAACAGCUAAGGUCCCAAAGAUAUACUAAGUGGAAAAGGAUGUGGGGUUGCUAAGACAACCAGGAUGUUGGCUUAGAAGCAGCCACCAUUUAAAGAGUGCGUAAUAGCUCACUGGUCAAGUGACCCUGCGCCGAAAAUGUAACGGGGCUAAGUAUAUCACCGAAGCUUUGGAUUCUCGAGGUUCGAUAUUCGAGAUUCGAUGUUCGAAAGGAAAACUCACAUGAUAAAAAUAAUCGAAUUUCGAAAUUCGAAUAUCGAACUUCGAGAAUGGUAGGGGAGCGUUCUUACCACAUUGAAGCAGUACCGAAAGGAGCUGUGGAGAGGUAAGAAGUGAGAAUGCCGGUAUGAGUAAGCGAAAAGGCAGGUGAGAAUCCUGCCCGCCGAAAACCUAAGGAUUUCUGGGGAAGGUUCGUCCGCCCAGAGUAAGUCGGGACCUAAGCCGAGGCCGCAAGGCGUAGGCGAUGGACAAUCGGUUGAAAAUCCGAUACCACCAAAAACCGUAUGAGGAUGGAGUGACGCAGGAGGGUAAGUUAAGCCAGCGGUUGGAAAAGCUGGUCCAAGCCCGUAGGGUGUAAGAUAGGCAAAUCCGUCUUACAUAAAACCUGAGAGGUGACGGGGAGCGAAAACAAGUAGCGAAGUAACUGAUCCCAAACUGCCAAGAAAAGCUUCUAACGAGGUUAGUUGGUGCCCGUACCGCAAACCGACACAGGUAGGUGGGGUGAGAAUCCUAAGGCGCGCGAGAGAACCCUCGUUAAGGAACUCGGCAAAAUGACCCCGUAACUUCGGGAGAAGGGGUGCCUCGGUAUCGUGAAAAUUGUACGAUUGGAGCGAGAAAAGGCCGCAGAGAAAAGGUCCAAGCGACUGUUUACCAAAAACACAGGUCCCUGCUAAAGCGAAAGCUGACGUAUAGGGGCUGACGCCUGCCCGGUGCUGGAAGGUUAAGGGGAAAUGUUAAGGAAACUGAAGCAUAGAACCGAAGCCCCAGUAAACGGCGGCCGUAACUAUAACGGUCCUAAGGUAGCGAAAUUCCUUGUCGGGUAAGUUCCGACCCGCACGAAAGGCGUAACGAUUUGGACACUGUCUCAACGAGGGGCUCGGUGAAAUUGUAAUGACGGUGAAGAUGCCGUCUACCUGCGACAGGACAGAAAGACCCCGUGGAGCUUUACUGUAGCUUGACAUUGGGUUUUGGUAUUUGAUGUACAGGAUAGGUGGGAGACUUAGAAGCUUGCACGCCAGUGUAGGUGGAGUCAGCGUUGGGAUACCACCCUUUAGAUAUUGAAAUUCUAACUAAAUUCCAUGAAGCUGGAAUGAGGACAGUGUCAGGUGGGCAGUUUGACUGGGGCGGUCGCCUCCCAAAAGGUAACGGAGGCGCCCAAAGGUUCCCUCAGUGCGGAAGGAAAUCGCACGUUAGAGUGUAAAGGCAAAAGGGAGCUUGACAGCGAGACCAACAAGUCGAGCUGGUACGAAAGUAGGGCUUAGUGAUCCGGCGGUUCUGAGUGGAAGGGCCGUCGCUCAACGGAUAAAAGCUACCCCGGGGAUAACAGGCUUAUCUCCCCCAAGAGUCCACAUCGACGGGGAGGUUUGGCACCUCGAUGUCGGCUCAUCGCAUCCUGGGGCUGAAGUAGGUCCCAAGGGUUGGGCUGUUCGCCCAUUAAAGCGGUACGUGAGCUGGGUUCAGAACGUCGUGAGACAGUUCGGUCCCUAUCCGUCGCAGGCGCAGGAAACUUGAGAAGAGCUGUCCCUAGUACGAGAGGACCGGGAUGGACGGACCGCUGGUGUACCAGCUAUCGUGCCAACGGUAGUGCUGGGUAACUAAGUCCGGAAGGGAUAAGUGCUGAAAGCAUCUAAGCACGAAGCCUCCUUCAAGAUGAGGUUUCCCACCUUCUCGAAGUUCGAGUUUUCGAACCACGAAUUUCGAACUUCGAGAAGGGUAAGAUCCCAUGAAGACUACAUGGUAGAUAGGCCGGGAGUGUAAGAGCAGCAAUGUUUUCAGCUGACCGGUACUAAUAGAUCGAGUUCUUGACCAA